RNAcentral lists this long non-coding RNA (1110 nucleotides) under Oncorhynchus kisutch (coho salmon). RNAcentral describes it as "lncRNA (ENSOKIG00005030587.1)". The record is from RNAcentral. Lineage: Eukaryota; Metazoa; Chordata; Actinopteri; Salmoniformes; Salmonidae.
GACUACGACACUCUGGCAGUAAGUCUCUUAUAAUACAUUUGGAUUGUUUGUGUUUUAUACAGUACUUUAAUGUGUUUAUAGAAAAUGAUGGAAAGACUGUUUCAAAGAACACAUGCAUUUCCUCUCUCUCUCCCUCUCCUACUCUCCCUAUAUCUUUCCCUCUCUAUAUAUAUCUUUCCCUCUCUCUUUCUCACUCUCUCUCUCUCUUUCUGUCCACAGAAUGUCCAUGCUGACCCUAACAGUGACCCCAACAGUGACAUGUACACACCUCUGAACAUGAAGACCAUGUCACCAGAGUAUGACACCCUGGCAAAUGUGAGGGGACCCUCCCACUGAAGAGAACCACCACAGAACCUGGACUGAAGAGAACCACCACAGAACCUGCACUGAAGAGAACCACCACAGAACCUGGACUGAAGGAAAGUACCUCAGAACAUCAACUGAAGAGAACCACCACAGAUCCUUUACUGAAAAGAACCACCACAGAACCUGGACUGAAGAGAAUCACCACAGAAGCUGGACUGAAGAGAUUCACCACAGAAGCUGGACUAAAGAGCUACGGUUCCAAUCCAAAGCCAGGCCUCACACCUCUAUUCUCUUGCAACCAUAUCUAGAUGGUUUUCCAGACCAUGAACUUUAGCUUUGAGUAAAUGGUGGAAUAUAUUUGUAAUGUUCUUAUUAUGAUGAUAAAUGGGAUGGGUUAUGCUGCUGCUUUUUUUCAAUGGGAUUUUCCCAUUUCCAUAUUUUUUCUUGUGUCCCAAUCUGUUUCCUAUCUGUAGUUUAAGAUUACAUUUCUGAUCUGUUCCUAUGGGGUUUUGCCAUAUACAGAUGUUUUAUAACAUCAAUAGUCCUACUUUCCUCAGUAACUAAUGUGGAUAAUAUUGAUAACAGCUAAUAUUGAUAACAGCUACUAUUUUUGUAGCUUUUGGGCCAAGUUUCUCCUGAUGUGUUUAAUGAUUUACUUUGUAUUGCUGUCAGACAUUAUUACUUAUUUGUAUGUUUUAUAUUACGUAAUCCUAUAUUGUUUUCUUUCAUAAAAAAAAAUGUAAUCAGUACAUUGCAUACAUUUAAGCAUUUGCAGUUUUUUACAUGUUAUAUUAAUUAUAAUUC